GCUAAUCCAGGCUGCGGGGCUCACUCUGAAGCCUGAUAAGUGUCCUGUCGGUAUGGCCGAGGUACAGUAUCUUGGUCAUAGGGUAGUGUGACGAACUGGACCUUGUCACGGGUUCUUGGAGGGGCAUACUUGCCAGCCUCUUGCCCUGUGACUAUGGCCCCUGUGUUAAAUCCUGGUUAAAACCACUGUGUGUGCCUUUUUGUACUUGUAUGGCCACAACUCGAACUUUUGAAGCGGCACUUCGAACUCCAGAAGCCAUUUGAAGUGCCAUUCGACCACUAGGUGGCAGCCAUCUUGUUCACAUGGACCAAAACCGCGAAUAGACUUUGUGGGGUCUACGGUGCUUGUGGUGUCCGGUGAGUCCUCAGUGUCAGCUAGGAAGCAUCGAUUGGUGGAGGUACCCAGUCAGAGUGCCAGGCGGUCCGUCACAGUUAGUUUUUGGCAAACAGCGACCUGAACCUGCCAAGGUAGAAGCUAUUGCUGACUAGCCACAACCCCAUACCAAGACACAGGUACUAGCGCUCCUAGUAACAGCGGGCUCCUACCGCAAGUUUUUCCCCGAG
Pelobates cultripes (western spadefoot toad) is the source of this 563-nucleotide non-coding RNA. Lineage: Eukaryota; Metazoa; Chordata; Amphibia; Anura; Pelobatidae. The record is from the annotation of a GenBank genome assembly.